This 30-nucleotide non-coding RNA is filed under the name Rattus norvegicus (Norway rat). Lineage: Eukaryota; Metazoa; Chordata; Mammalia; Rodentia; Muridae. The record is from RNAcentral.
GUGGACAACAUUAGUGGUCUAUCUCGGGGC